AGUGAACGCUGGCGGUAGGCCUAACACAUGCAAGUCGAACGGCAGCACAGUAAGAUCUUGCUCUUACGGGUGGCGAGUGGCGGACGGGUGAGGAAUACAUCGGAAUCUACUUUUUCGUGGGGGUUAACGUAGGGAAACUUACGCUAAUACCGCAUACGACCUACGGGUGAAAGCAGGGGAUCUUCGGACCUUGCGCGAUUGAAUGAGCCGAUGUCGGAUUAGCUAGUUGGCGGGGUAAAGGCCCACCAAGGCGACGAUCCGUAGCUGGUCUGAGAGGAUGAUCAGCCACACUGGAACUGAGACACGGUCCAGACUCCUACGGGAGGCAGCAGUGGGGAAUAUUGGACAAUGGGCGCAAGCCUGAUCCAGCCAUACCGCGUGGGUGAAGAAGGCCUUCGGAUUGUAAAGCCCUUUUGUUGGGAAAGAAAAGCAGCAGGUUAAUACCCCGCUGUUCUGACGGUACCCAAAGAAUAAGCACCGGCUAACUUCGUG
Molecule: ribosomal RNA, 492 nt
Filed under: uncultured bacterium
Lineage: Bacteria
Description: partial 16S ribosomal RNA
Rfam family: Bacterial small subunit ribosomal RNA
Source: RNAcentral